Numida meleagris (helmeted guineafowl) is the source of this 16850-nucleotide long non-coding RNA. RefSeq lists it as uncharacterized. Lineage: Eukaryota; Metazoa; Chordata; Aves; Galliformes; Numididae. The transcript is spliced from 3 exons. The record is from RefSeq and is a predicted model, not a curated record.
AAGCACUGGUAGAGCCAGCAGGAGCUGCAGAAUGGACCAACGCUAUCCUCAUGCCAUGUCAACAGAGAUGGGAGCACCCGGACCCGGAAAGUGGAGCAGCACCAGGCUGCGUUAAGGCUGUGCUGGCUGCCCAGAGGAGACUGGCUACUGUAGGAGCAUAAUUUUCAACAGAAGAAGCAGACUUGCAGCACCUGGAGAAUAUCUGCCCUGAGUUGCAAGAGACUUUACAAUGUGAUAAAUUGGUGGUACUUCUGCGUGCCUAAAUUCAGGUAUGGACUACACGUCGUUUUGCUCAGGAAAAGAAAAUGAAAAACUUUACCUCUACAACAUGAGAUCUGCUCUGCUGUGGCUGGUGGCACCCCACUGGUGUGUGCUCCCUGGCCCUGCAGCCCUCCUGGGCACCAGCAUCACCAUCACUGAGGGCACCAUGUGAGUUAGCAACAAUUGAGCUUUAUCUCCACUCUCAAAAUGGAGAUUAAACUAUGUUUCUGUGGUGGCUGAGAAAUUUUGCCCUAGCCUUGAUGAAAUGAGCUGGAGCAAAUGGGUAAAGUUUUAGAGUAACUCUUCCAAAGUCAACAGGUCCUUGGGAAAACUAUUCUCUAGACUGGCUUUUUAAAGCAGUACGCUUUACAGAAGUCUUUACAGCAAAAUGCUCCCAGCACAAGCAGUCAGCAGAGCUACUGACUCCAAAACAGCCUCCAUGUGACAAAGAGAGUAGGUCUAAAUUAAAGGCUUAGUGCUCUGUAGAGGACAGAGGGCUGAUAGUAGCUGGGAUGAGAAAUGCAGGAAGUCAGCUCCCUUUUCCCAAGUUACUCUGGGAAUUCUGGUCAGGACUGCAGCAAUGGGUACUUGGUAGUACUCUUUUGAUCACUUACGUAGAUACAAAUUAAUUAUCUUUACAGCACAUGUAUAUAUUUCCUGACCAAUUCCUGCAGGUUGUAUGCAUUACUGUUUUAAGCAAAAACAGAAAAAGGCAAUGAGAAAAGACAGAGUCCUUUACUGCAGUUAGAAUGGUGUGCUGGCACACUGCGGUGGGCAGGAGUUUGUGGCUGUAUGGAGUUAAAAGCAAAUAUCACCUAGUAGGUGCAGAUACACGAGUGCUAACAGAAACACACCUACACACAAACAGGUUUUACAAAUCUACAAAUGUCUACACACACCUAUGUGCCUAUCUGUAUUGAAAAAGUGAUAUAUGCAUAUUCUUGCUUACAGACAUGUACUCAGGCCCUGGCACAUGUGUGCACAAACCCAUACGCAGAUGCCAUGUGUAAUUUUAGACCACACAGCAUAUGCACACACACAUCUGUUGGUGAGCUCUGAGCAAAACAGGUAUCAGCAAGCUGACCCCUGAGGCUGGGCAACGGCACCGAAACCCAGCAAGGCUGGGGCUUUUAGUGAAGUGAGUGAGAAAUGAAAAAAAGAGAGCUUGAAAGUGCCUGGUGCUGUGAUGCAUAAUUGAUGAGACUCCAAGCAGGGCUUUGGUGUCUAAUGAAUUAUUAAACACUGACUCAUUAGGGAAAGAUUUCAUUAUAGGAUAAUUUAAUUAAAUGAUAGGCAAAAGGAGGAAAGAGCUUUAAGGGACUUAAAGUCCUUCUGUUUUCCACUGUGACAUCGAUGAUUUAAAGAGAGAGGAGGCGAGAAAUGAUUCUGGAGGUGGGGAAGUAUUUACUGUGAUGCUGAUCAUGAGAUGUCUGAUUCUCCAUUUCCUCAACAUUUCCAUUUUUAUUCACCAGAGUGAAAGUGGGCUUUUCUUGCUCUGGUUUAAAGGCACUUUACAGACAUUUCCUGGUGCAAAGAACUGGGCUCACUGCGGGGCAGUGAGCACUGACUGCAGCAAUUUUGUCCCUGCUAGGGACAGAAACAAGGAAGUCAAGUCCCUCUUAAUAUCACAGUCAAGUACAUCUGGAAUGCAGUGAGGAAGACAAGAACCACAAGUUGUGUUGCUCAGGUAGUGUCACCCAGAGAGAAUAGCAGGAGAGGGCAGGUCUGUGCUGCUCAGGUGUGUUUGGACACAGUGGGCUUUUGUGGCCCUCCCAACUUAAAGAGAACAAAGACAGCCUCUAGAUCCCUGCAGGCAGACUGAAGGGACAGCGUGCCCUCCACUGAAUGAUGGGCAUUUACUCUCAUUGGGUUCUUUUCCCCCCCUCUUCUUGUUUAAACAAGGUCUGAAACAAACAUAUCUCCAAAUCUGUUCUGUUAUUUCUCUGCUUCACUCUGGACUGUGAGUGGGAUGGUUGCCCAGCUGCUCUCCCCGCACAAGGAGGUUUUAAAGAUGGAACAGACAAGGUCAGGUGCAUCCAAACUGAUAAAUAAAACAAGAACUUCCAAUAUGACAAGCAUAGCAGAAGCAGAAAAUUCUCAUUUCCAAGCAGCUACAUUCAGUAUCUGUUUUACUUUGGACGGAUGCAUGCAGCUGUCUAACAUUUGCUCAAGCCCUCGAUUUUGGGUCCCACUUCAAUUCCACUUCCUAGAACCAGUAUGUCUGCAAGUAGGCUAAACUAAACAUAGAAUUUUGCAAAAAAACUCUGAGGUUACUGAAAAACUAUAUUAGCCUAAUCUUAUUUAUUUCUUCUUAGUGUAACACAGAGAUAAAGAGGACAUGCAAAUAAUAAAUUUGUUCAUUUAUUCACAAAGAAAACAUGAUGAGAGAAGGAAAAAUGAAUACAGAGGUGAUGGGGCUGCAUUAAUAAAAGGGCAGCUGACAGGUUGCAGAAAGUGAUUAUUUUGCUCUGCUCCAUGCCUCCUGGCUCCUGGCUCCCCAGCUCAAGCCACUGAAGAACUGGAGAGCACAGAGUAAAGGACCCCUGAGGUGGGCAGGAGGCUGGAGCAAGCAGCUGGGUGAGAGCCAUGAAAGGCUAAUGGGCAUCCUCAUUGCUUCUAAUUGCCAAGCUCCUCACAGGGUCUGGAACAGGCAAAUUUAUCCUUCCAAGGGUAUUUCUGGCAAUCAGGUUGUAAUAAAAUGCUGAGUUAGAGGUAGUUCUUGAAUGUAUGCUAAGUGGGAAAAAUACUUUUGUCUUUUUUCAUGAGAAGAGAUAAAUAUAAGCUUGUACUUAACUGCAUUCAUUCUCAAGCAGACUACCUACAGCUCUUCCCUAGAAAUGCUGAUCUUUUGGGGGUGUUUGUUUGCUAGUUGUGGCAGAAAAACAGGAAAUGGCUGGGAUUUAGUGCUGGAAUGUGACCCUGUGGUGAGUGUGGUCAGAAAUUUGGGAAUUCACACAGAAAUACCAACUUUUUAUUAUUACUCAGAAAAGAGGAAGCCAAGGGGGAAAAAAAAGCCUGUCAGACAAAGGAGAAAUCUGACAACAUCUGUCUCUUUAAAAUCACCUAUAAUUGCCUGAGAGAAAGGAAACCAGUCCAAAAAGCACUUACGUGCACUGUGAGAAGAGAUUAUUCUGUCUGAGACUGACUGUGUCAGCUUCGGUUCAGAGUCUUAUUAGAUCCUGGCACAAAGUUGAGAAUACGUAUGAAAGAAAAAAGAUUUAGAAAGGGUCUUUUCUGCAGAGAAAGUAAAAACCAGGCUAUUUCAUCUUAAAAAAAUGUGAGAGAUGAUAGAAAGUACGAGCUGUUGGCUGUCAGGCAGAGCCUGCUCAGGUUAGCAUGGAGGCUGCUGCUCUGCAGGGUGGGGGGGCUCCGGAACGUUUGUGGCAGCCAGAAAGGCUGCCUGAUGUGAAAAAUGAGGUUCUGCAAUCAGACCCAACCUGUCUUAACGGUGGUUCAAAACUAUGGAAUCUACUCAUAACCCCAGAAAGUCCCUUUAACUGGAGGCAUGGGAAAUGGAGGUGGGAUGCUUUAUUUCGGUAGGCAAGUAAAAAGUAAUUAAACAAAAAGAUGGUGAUUAGAUAAAGCAUAUCACAAAAUUAACAGAAAUCAGUGUAUUCCAAAUGGUAUUUUUGGACUGUCUUGCAGAAGUCUGACGGGUGCUUGUUUCUUCUGGUACUUGUGGGUGCAAUGGUGAACUGGUGAGGUGGCAGAGCUUGGCACUAGGUGCUUUGCACAGGAACUUUCACAUCAUAUUUUCUUCACAAGCUCUCACUGAAUGAAUUCAGAAUUCUCUUUCUUCAAAGGUUCUUUGUGGGAUAUUUCCCCUUGAGUGUUUCUUGCCACUGUGUACAAAAUACCUGCAAUAAGAAUGCAGGUAGGUGCUAUGGGUCACAUCUUCCUCUUGACAACAACAAGCACCAACCUUUUCAUUUCAGAAAGGAGGGCAGAUGCUCACCUCCCAACUGAUGUCAGAAGAACUACUUUUCUGAUUACUUUUACUAACUCUCAACAACAGUUUCAAAAGAAGACGGCCAAUGAAGCUCAAGAAAACUGCCUUAAUAAUGCAAAUUGAUAUUUUUGCAUGGCUGCCCAAGUGCAGCACUUCCUGACUCUAGAAAUUCAGUUACAGAGCUACAAUAAGCUCCUCAAGUCCCCCAGUUCUAUGUUGUGAUUUUUAAACUGCCAAAGAGGUGGAUGUUUGGUUUAGUCUGCAUAGAUGCUUGAAAGAAGAUGCUCUCUUUAGACUGCAGAGGGAGCAGAAAAUUUUCUGAGGAAAGGUGUUUCUGAGAAGAGUUUUGGGAAGAUUUGAAUUGACGCGUGGAUUGCCUGUCAACUAAUGGGAAUGAAGAAGAAAAAAGAGGUCUUUUAAGGUUAAGGAGGGGAGAGAGAAGGAAACUGCCCCUGCUGCUCAGGCUUUGCAAACAGUUUGGCUGUACAUGCACAAGACCAAGUUUUUUUUCUCAUUUACCUCAGAAUAAACCUGCAGUGACUCUAGAAUUGCUGACAGUGACCUUCUUGCCUCCAAACCUCUUUGAUUUUUUUUUUACCUUCUCCUCAGCUCCAUCCUCACAGAGCCUUGCACCAUACCUCAGCUAGGCCUUUAGCUACAACUUGUGGCUACAGAAGAGAGAACAUUCAUCCCAGCACUCUUUCCCAGUAGUGAUGCUGGCAUUACAUCUUACAGACCACAUUUUUCCUGUCCAUUCUGAUGACAGGGGAUUACCCAGCUGAGCUGUACAUGGCAGAAGCUCUGGAGAUGGUCAGGAGUGCUGCAGUAGAACCUGGUCCUGGCAUGGGUGGUGUCACAGCACCCAGGCCCGCAGCCUUCAACCACAACCUUCCCAGGGCUGCCCUUCUGCUCUGUCACUGAAGGCUGUUUGGCAUCCCUGUUCCUUGAUGAACAGAGUUUAAAUGGCUUUUUCUACCUGCCGGAGUAUUAGGUUAUUCCUGAGACCUUAAUGGAAAAUAACUAGAAGAGAGAUUUAGCUGAUGGAGAAGUCAUUUGAAGAGCUUUGGUUACCUAAACCUUGUUCCUGCCACUCCCACCGUUCCACUGAGUGAACUUUAGAAUUCAUAUCACUACUUCCUGCCUCAGUUUCUCCAAAUAAAAGAUACAGAAGUCUCCCAGACAUGCUGUGAAGCCCACUGGUUGUCUAAAACUUGCCUGGAAAUGGGAAUUCUGCCCUUUGCCACAUGCUUCAGCCAGGGAGGCCUCACGGUGUACGUGUCCCACCACAGCAAUCACACCAUGUUGAGGUGUGUUAGUGAUGUUCACCCCAGAGCUGAGCUCUGAUAAACUCCGCAAAGCCUUGAGAAACUUUCUGGGUGGAAGUCACAGUGGCAGAGUAGUCUUUAGCAUUAUGAUUUUUCAUUGUCAUAAUGAUUGUUUUGAAAGAUUGGGCUUGUUGUUUUGCAAAGAGAUUUUCUCUCCAAUAUGCAGCCAGCCACCCCAAGGGGGAGGAAGAGCCCUCCUGGUGACAGGCUCCCAGGUACAGCCCAGGGCAGGGACAGCUCCGCUUUCAUCUUGCCAGCCUACCUGCUCUGUGGGCUGAUGGCUCGGAGGGAUUUAAACCUCUCUGUGUCUCCAUUUCAGAGGUGAAACAUUGGGCUUUUUCUCUCACUGUGACCUCCAGGAAGCUUGGCACAUUCCUUAAGUAAGAUUGACCCCAAGUUCCUUUUUCUGCUGUUUUUGGAUUAAGCCAGACUUGGCACUCACGUGGGCUGCGAUACAGUCAGCAUUCCCCAGCUGCGGCGCUUUGUCAUGGGUCAGCACAAGCGAAAGUCUGUUCAGCAGAAGGUCACGGUGCUACAGCAGGGCUGACUGCAGAUUAAUACUGAAAUGUGUCAAAGAAAGAGAGGGGAGGCUGAAACCCUGCGGGUUCUGUGACACUUAAACACACCCUGAAGUACAUUAAGGACUGGUUUAUGAACACAGUGCCUCAUGAGUAUUUCUGGCACCUUCACAGCCUGCACAGCCCUGCUGCUGCCCCAUGCUGCAUUGAGUGGUGCAUCUCUGUGACACAGAUGGAGCUUCCAGAGAUGCUGAGCCCAGCUGCACAUCUACUAUUAAUCACCUCACUUCUCACCUUGUUAGCCACGGCUUUAUUUCUGCCUGAAUUCAGGCAAGGAAAGCUGCAAGCACAGGAAUAAAUACAGUCAGGAGUACAGCAGGAGGCACUGCUGUCUCACUGUGGGAUGAGCAGAGGUAGGGGUUCUCAUCCUCGUAUUGGUGAGCCAGGUGUGGGGAUGUGAGACCCCAAGGAACACUGCACCAGAGGCAGAUAGUAAGCCUAGAUCUGUGGAUCUUAAAUCUUCCUUGGGUAGCACUUGAUUCUGCUUAGAGGUAUGUAUGUCAAAGCACUGGUACAUUCAUGGCAUCUUGCACUCCAGCUGACACUAUGACUUCUACAGGUUAUUGCUUGGUGGCUGGUUUUGUUUUGUUUUGUUUUGUUUUGUUUUGUUUUUACCCCUUUUUACAUUUGAUUAAGAAGCUGCAAGAAUUUUAGGGGCUUAAUUUGUUUUCUGUCUGUUUCUAAAUUAAGAAACAUUAAACAAGGCAUGAAUAGUCCUUCGUGGCUCAAUGGUUAAUUUUAUGAAGAGAUUUUUUUUAUUAUUUAUAGAACUUGGAGUCCUUACAUCUUAUCUGAGCAGUGGGAAAUGCUGGAUCUUUUUCUUCAUUCACCACUGGAAUCACUGCCAUUUUGAGUUUGGAAAUUCUGAGUAAAAGUCUCACUUAUGCUAUAGUUUCACUCUCCUUUUGUUGCAGCCUCUUCUUUCUGCACCCUUCCAGCACCUCCCAUCCUGAAGGCACCUCAAAAGCAGAGGUACAAUGUUGGUGACCACAGGGCUGUCUUGAUCCGCUCUGGUCAUCACUUUAUGCAGAAGGGGAAGCACUUCAAUUAGUGCUUCAAGUGUGACUGCCAGUACUAGAAAAUAUGGAGCCUGGCACAGAUACAGCACCCUAAUCUUGUCCCUGAGCAAAAUCAAGAGCUCCGAACAGCAACUAAGGAGUUGAGAACUGAGUUUAUUUUGCUAUAGGCUCCCUGUGGCCAAGGGCAACAGUGCGAGAAAGCACAGAUUCUGUAUGAGAUGGCUGGAAGGAUCUGUGGCAUGGGGCAGAAUCUUCUCGUCAUCUGCAGAGAUAGUUUAGGCAAAGGGCUGUCAGCUCCAGGUGUGGAGAUAUUUUGGGUGAGGAAGGACCUGCUGGCAGAGGUAGAACAAAGAAAUGAGUUCAAGUGCCUGCAAGCAGAGGGCUGGAUAUCUGUAAACAGAACAAGACAAAAAUGUACAAAAUGCAGCGUGCAGAGAAACUUAAGCGCUCACUUGCUGUGACCAGAGCUAGGGUUAGCUACCUCUGGGUGAGUCUGCCCUACCAGGAGCCCUUCCUUUGCAGGCAACAGGUUGGCAUCCUCAGUAGCUCUCUUGCUGGGGCUCACUCCGGCUCAACUGUUGCAAAGUGGCUUUUGUGACUUGAUUUUUGUAAAAUAAAUUUUAAUAUGAAAGAAACGGAGCAAAAGGAGUGGAACCAGUGGAGUAGCAUGGGAAGAGAGCUCUAGAACUCCAGGGAUUUUUCAGUUACUUUUAACUGUCCUAAGAGGCACAAGAAAUAACUGUCACAGGCCCAGUUUUUCAGCCCUUACUAAGUAUUCUAGUCCAGCUGUAUUUAUUGAUGGUGAUUCUGCAGCUGAGUAAGAUUUCGCCAUUUGUAGCUCUUGGGUAGAUCAGUGAAAGAAUAAAUGCAAAGUGACUGCUGGUAGACAGAGUGAGACCCAUAGCCAAGGCGGCUGCAUUUCUGGCUCCAAAUAGCAUUUUCCAACCCCUUCCACAGUCAGAGACUUGCCAGAUCCCCAUUUAGCUUCUUAAAUUAUUGUAUGCAACACCUGAAAUCAAAUGUAGACAUGACUUUGUCUUUAAGCAGGGAGUCAGGUUUAAAAUUAUGGCACCUAGGAGCCAAGGGAAAUUUUCUAGGUGCUAAGUUUGGCUCCAGAGCUGCCAUUUCCCAGCACAGCAGAAUAGCUUGCCCCAGUCCAGGAGGUCACAGUAAAACAUGAAUGAAGGUGUUAAUGUAAAACCCCAAAUCCACAAAAUUCUUGAUUUAUGAAGCUGACUUUGCUUUCUAGGAACUAAGAACAAGAUUUGUUAGAGAUGAGGGUGGAAGAAUAGCUUUCAUGUUUCUCAUACCACAAGGCUUAGAUGUGCCACUUGUUGCUGCCACUGGUGGCUCAGGACACUGCAGGUGAGAUGCUUUGUGGUGCUUCGUGGAGGCUCCCUGGGCUGUGGCCCUGGCAGGGCUGGAGGAGCUCUGCUGGGCAGAGAGCAAGGAGAAAAGGGAAUAACGAGCCUGUGAAUGUGUAUGCACACAUAGAUCAAGGCCUGCAUUUGAAUGAUGGGAGAGCUGGUGGGUAGGAUACUGAAGCAUGCUUGCUAUGGCACGGGGAAGGGUCCCUCUGCAUGGGUCUCCUCAGAUAGAACCGUGAUACUGAAAUCUCCUGAGGUUUUGAUGUCAGAAACAACAGGAAAAAAAGGCUCUAAAAACAGUUUUCCUGCCAUGGAUCCUCCUCUGCCCUUGAUAUCCACAAGCUAUGGUGGCUGACCGCAGUGUGAAGGCAAACCUUGCAUUGACAUGGAGAGUGAUGAAUAGUUUCUAUCCUGAAAUCCAAUCUCUGAAAUUGAUUGCACCAUCAUAGUAAAUCCAUUACUGGAGCAGCCCGUUUUACCAAUACCACAUUUCAAUAAUUUAUUUCAGAAUAAAAGGCUUUUUAAAGUAUCAGAUGAAAUUAAGACCAGUUCUUUGAUAUCUGUAAAUACUGGAAGCCCUGCUUCAGAUGGAGGUGUCAUAGAUACUUCCUGAAAGCAAAAUCAUAUUUAAUAUGGCCAACAGAGGCUAGAAGAGGAGGUUGUCUAGGUGAAAGGGGAGGAAUCUCAUUAAAUGGGGAGGUCUAGGUUGGAUAUUAGGAAAAAAAAUUUCUCUGAAAGAGCAGUGAUGCACUGGCACCGGGUGCCUGCAGAGGUGGUGGAGUCCCUGUCCCUGGAGGUGUUCAAGAGCUGUGGGGAUGUGGCACUGAGGGACAUGGGUUAGUGGUAUGGUGGAGAUGGGUUGAUGGAUGGACUAGGUGAUCUUAGUGGUUUUUCCAACCUUAAUGGUUCUAUAAUUCUGUGAAACGUUAGCAAGGAUAACUGGCAUUUGUAUGAGCUUCCUGAUUCUCCUUGUUAAAAUUUUUAGUUUAUAACUAUCUGUAGAGCUGUUUACUUAGCUCAAAUGUAGUCUGUGGAUAGCCCUUUGGAGUCUUAAGUAUUUCUCAAAAAAGUGUCAUCUACAGAUCCGUUAGAUUUGCACAAUCCAAAGUUGCUUUCUGAUCCUGCAUACAUGUGUAUGUGUGUUGGCCUGGGUGGAGAAACAUAUCCGCAUCAGUUUUGAACAGCAUCAUGUGAGCCCACAGGUCAGAGGCAAGGAGGCAGGACAUCUGUCCUCUUUGUGGGUGGAGAAUGGUGCAGUGCUGUCCUCCAGGGCUUUGUGCUUAGGUGAAUACUCUGUUAGGCAAUGAAACAACGAUUUGUAGGGUUUUACAUCUUUUUCUAUAAGACUUAUUUUGAGAUAACGAAAGAAUUUGGAAGGAGCUGCAGCACCUUGCCUGUGCACAAGCUUCCUCUCUGCAAAUACUCUUACAAAUCAAAUUCACACUCUGCUGAGGAUGCUUCCACUUCUGCUGAGCCUGUCCUUUUGGCACAGUUGGUCCCUGGUUAUGGAACGCACAUUGACCUAAGGCUGUGCUGAUAACUCUGGUCAUUCCCUGCGCUAUGGCACAGCUCCUCCAGGCAGAACAGCACUAACCUGUUGUAAUGCACUAAAUCACUGUGUGAUGCUCUGCAACUAUUGGGGUACUGAGUAAUGGGAUCUGGGUGUAGGAAGCUGAAAGAAGGGAGAAUGCAAAACGAGGUAUAUAUUCUCAUAUUUAAUAAACAUGUAACGUUUUACCCUCCACCUCCUCCCUGUUUACAAAUGAAAUGAGCCCUUGGUGUGACAUUCCAUGCAUUUUUACAUCAGCUUAACCCUGGAAAAGCUUAAUCCUUGUUUAAUGGUCUUUUAAUAGAAGUGGUCAGUAGUUCGGUAAAUGUUUAAGUGACAGCUUGACAGACAUGGAGCUAACACGUUAAUCCUGGCUGCAGGCCAAGCGCUACCAAGCAGGUUCGCCUCAGAGCUGAGCAGGGCAAACGUUUCCGGCUCAGCCUCGGCUGGGAGGAGGUGGUCGAGGCAGUAGGGUUUGCUCUGAGUGUUUACAGGUGGAAAACAGCCCUUGUCCCGGGCUGCCAAGAGGUACCUUUGGAUAGCAUGAGACAUUUCUAUCCUCAGCCUUUGACAGACAAUUUCCUUUUCCUCUGCAGAGUGUAAUAACAUUAUUACAGGCAGUUUUGAGCUCUCUGUAGAGAUUGUCUUUCUCUUGAACCCUACAGACUUUCUCUGUAGGUGAUUGCUAUAACAUCAAACAGAGCACUGUAUGGGAAUCUCUGUGAAGGAGCAGGAACUUACACAUGUCGUGCAGAACAGCAUCUCCACCCACCAAGCAUCCUGAACACAGUUCUCACAAAAUCAAGCACUCGUUUAGAACUGUGCCUUUUGGCAAAGCCUGAGCUGCAGAGCCCUUGUCACCCCGCUGAGCUCCUGUCCCCACAUCACCCCUCUGCAUUCAUGUCCCCAUGUCACCCACUUCCCCAGCCAGCUCCUGCCCCAUUUCUGCACAUUCCUCCCCACCGUGCUCUGCCUGCAGCACACAGCACAGCUCGGGCAGCAAAGAACCAAAGUGAGGUGAGUUACACAAGGCUGGUGCCCCAGGCUGCCUUCACACCCACCUCAGUGCCCACGGGAGAGCAGCAGCAGCCCUGUAACCCCUGGCAUGCCUUCACUUGAUUUAAUGCAGUUCUUAUGUCAGUAGUGCUCAGAGAAGGACUGAAACAAUUUAUUUUAUGCCCCAGACCGUAUUUUGCCUAAGUCGACCUGUUUGACAGUAAGUUGUAAUUUUAUGGGAACAGUCUCUCGGCUUUUGGGGGGAAGAGGUUCAACAGAUCCAUUACCUGCUACCAGCUUACGUGGGAAGCAGACAGCUUGAAUAUAUUUCAACUGCUAGAAGAAACUUUAUAUUUUUAAAAUUUACACUCCAUAUUUUUUAGCGAUGCUUUAUUUUCCCCUUCAUUUUUGAAUUUAUGCUGCUGUGAUUUUUGUUAUAUGUUCAGCAUAUGUGUGUGUGUUUUAAUAUAUGUGUGUCUAUAAAGUAUAUGCAGCUUGGAAUGACCUACUCACAGAGGGACAACUUUGAAAAAAGUCUCUCCCCGUGAUUGACAGUUGCACUCAGACCGUGGGGAUUAUGGGGGAUCAAUGAGGAUUAUCUCAUUUACUUUCAUUAACCCUUGAGUUUACUUUGCUGGGUUUCCUCCACAUGCCACUCACUGAAUGUUAACGGUUUCUUUCAGCAGACGACUGUGCUGCCAGAGCUGACCGGUCUUUUUUAAAGAGUGCUUUAGUGCUCUAAAGUGGUUACAGAUAAAAAGAGAUAUUUAAUGUUAAAUGCCAGUAAACAUCAAUGCGCUGCACUGCUGUUAAAAACCCAUUUCAGAAUGUAUCUAUUUUAUCUGAUUAAUUCAACUCAGUGGAAACAGAAUUUUAACUCCUCUAAGUUUGGUUUUUUCUCCCUAACAUCCCAUACUGUCUUUGUAGGAACUCUUGAGAUAAAACUGGACUGAAAAUGUGAUUCUCCUCCUCUGCAGUGAGCAGUUCGACAUUUGUCUGCUUAAAUUUGGGACUUUCAUCCUAAGAAAUUCCUGUUGUUGUUCAAGCUACUCAUCUAAUUCCUGCUGAUGAGAGCUGAGAGGAAAAAGCCAAACAGAGGUGAUGGUCCUUGGAGGACCCAUGUCCCGUCCUUGUGAGGCUGCUGGUGGGAGCCAGGUGUACCCAGAGGGUGGCUUUGUUCGUGUUGAUAUCUAUCCAGCAUCAAGAAGGGAAGAACCCUCCAUGGUGUUACCAUUGCCAAAGCCAAAUCCACUUUUGGCAGUUCUAACAGUAUGGAACAGGAGGUUUGGGGAAGGAGCUGGUUCUGCACUUGGGCUCCUAUUGGCAGGAGAUAUUCCUCCAUGAAGGUUUGAAGGAGGAAGGCUUAGCAAGAUUUUCUGAUUCCAGUUGUAUGGAGUACAAAUAACUUCUCACUUCUUUUCCAUCCUUUCUCUCCCAGGAACAAAAUCAAGGCAAUACAUGAAAAGUGAAACUUUCUGGUGUCUUAGAAGAAAUGAACUGCUUUGCUGAAGACUGUGCAGCACAGUUGCACAUGUGACUGCAUAUUACAUACAUAAUACUAAUAACAAAACUUUGAGAGAAAGCUGCUUAAUCCCACCUCUGCUCCCAUGUGAUGCUGCUGGGGGAACAUCCAGGUUUGGAAUAAGUGGAACUAAAUGCAGAAUGGAUAUGUAUAUCCAUGGAGACUGAGCUCGGCCCAGAAUCCCCUGGAUUAAAGGCUGGAUAUAAUUUUCAAUGUUCAUGCUCUGCACAACCGUCUACUGUAUUUCAAAUCCUGUGUUAUCCACUUGUAGAUGCUGAAUGAAAGAUAUGGCUGGAUGUGUCCGGACAGAUGCGCUGUACAGUGCUCCACCGAGAAAAUGGCUUUGCACUACAAAAACCAUUUGUAUGCAAGUCAGCAGAAGCUUAGAUUUUGGUGUGCAAAAAAGUUCUAAAGUGUUCCUAUGAAGUACAAACAACAUGUCAGUGGUAUCAAGGAAAAUAAGUAUUAAGAUUCAUUUUGGAAUGUCUUUCAUGGAACAUUUUUUUAUGUGCUGAGGAUAUGACUUGACCUCCAGAAUGAAUUACAAAGAGCCCUCCUCAGUGGCAUGGAAGCUUCUGAAGUCAGUGAAACAUCUUUGAAGUUAAGUGAUGUUGAGCAAUGUGUGCAGAAUCACGGCACUGACAGCUGUCCUGGUAAAACAGAGGAGAUCCUUCCAGGCACGCAGUUGCUUUGUAAUAUUGUGUAGGGUUGUUUCUAAAACAUGAUCCUGUCAAAUAUGCCUAAAAAAAAUGUAACUGGAAAAUCCUGGUUAGUCAUCUUGUGUGUCAUCUGCCUGUGCAGAGCUGUGCAGGUAGACAUGGAAUUUCCAGGCUGUAGGAAUUCAGGUGCACCAGACAAAUCUUGCUUUACAAAUCAACUUUCUAUUUCAAAACCCAUCUCCAGUCUUCUGAUUUUAUUUUUUAAAUUAUAUUUUAAAGCAAUUGCUCUUUUUGUGCUCUUGGGUGUUUCAAGUGCUUCCAGCUGGAAUUUGCAGCUACCUUUUUCUAAGAACAUAGCUGCCAUCCGCUAGGGCACAUCCUCUGAUUAAACGAAUAAACCCAGGGAUGUUUGGGAGUGAGGAACAUCGGCACUCAGAGGCAGCUCCAUGCUCUGGAGAAACUUUUGAUGCGAUGCUUGAAAUAGGAUGGUGCACAGCCGCUGGGAGGGGUUGGCAGAGCUCCUGAUGAGUGCAGGUGUCUGCGGUGCCUCUGCGGUUAGGAAACUGAGAAACACAACAAAGCCGAACCAUUUUCUGCCUUAGCAACUCAUCCCAAGUGCAAGAAGUAGAGAUUUCCUUCAGGUUACACAGUUACUUACUCUCCAGUCAACCAAUUAGUGCCAGACAAGGCAGUGACAUCUGGAGUUGGUUAGCAGAGCAUUAGCUGUUCAUUGGGAUGUUUUGACUGGACUCUUCAAUGGGAUUUAUUGUACUUUAUAGUUGUUUAUUUUCCAAUCAGAGUCAGCCUUUAAGUCAAGAUUGCUGCUUCAGCCCCUUCUGAGCAAAAAGAAACACAAAGAAAGAGUCUCCUCUGACUCUUAGGUAGAGAGGGUUCCUCAGCAAUUAUACAUAGACUUAAAACACCAUAGUGCAGACAAAUUGAACAGAGCGUGCUUACUGCGUGCUGAUUAGCAAAGUGGGGGGAUGGGGAGGGUGAGACACGGUCAUGGCUGGGCAGGUAUGUCUGAAAAUACAUCUGGCACUUCUUGCUUCAAAACAAAGGUUAUUCAUCUAAAGCUGGAGAAAAUACAAGAAAUACUCUGAGUUUAGGAGCAGCUGAAGCAACCACAGUGUGCUGACACCUCUCUGCCCUGCAAAGCCCAUGUGAGGGAUAGUGUCUGCAAACUGCUGGGCUCUCCUCUGCAGAGUGGCUGCCAGGGAGGCAUGCUGUGCUGGGAGAUGGUGCUUCCAUGGUGGGAUCACCUCUUUGAGAUCGCAGUGAAUUCUGAGAAGGCUUUUUGCUGAUUGAGACCAGUGAGUGAGCAGCACCUGCAACAACCACAUACUCAGAUGCCAUGCACUGACUGAACACUGACCGCAUUCACCUGGCCUGCCGCUGGCAUUUGUUUCGGUCACUCAGACUUCAGGCAAAAACACGCAGUUCCAGACUCACCAUGGCUACCUAGAAUCCACCAGGAUAACAGAGCUCUCGACUUAUUUAUGACUCAGCUCCACACAUUCUGUCAUUUUUUUCAUAUUAUCUGGACCAAAGUCUAUCAAAAAUGCAUAUUUCUCUAUUGGCCUCAUUUCAGCUCCUAAUCCUCAUUGUACAGAAAGCCAUUUCCUGUCUUCUUUCUCUUUUUCCUUUUUCUUUAUCAGUGUUUCCUUUGGGUCUGUGUUGAGUUACUUUGGUGAUAUCCAAAUGAGAUUAAAUAUUUUGCACUUAACAUCACUUCUGCUACAUCUUUUCCUUUUGGACUCAAAUUGUACUUCAACGGCAUCCUCGCUGGCCUUUUUCUGUGUCCACUCUGAAAUGAAAAUUGCUUAAGCGUCACAAAGGGCAAAGCCCAACAGUGUCUGAGAGCAGGUACUAAGAACUGACGCAUUACCAGAUACAUCAAAAACAAAUAACUGAAGAGUGAGAGUCCUGAGGGCAUUGCACUGGCACUCUAAAUUGGGUAAUAGAUAGGGCGUUUGUUGUUCACUCACUGCUGUGCUGGUAAUUGUUGGUUUUAUACCACAAAUUUGAUCGUGUGGAGCACACAGGGUUUGACCUCUCCCUUUCCUUGCUUCCAACAACUUGCACAUGCUGCUCCAGUGCGCUGGCACUGAGGGCUGAUGUUAAGAGAGACCACAUGGAGUGUUUCAGAUUAUAGGCAGCGGAGGUGAUCCUAAUUUGUUCUGAUGUGCUUGUGCUUUCUAUGUGUGUCUGCAAUGUCAUCAAGAGCUUCUGAGGGAAACUGCUAGCCUUGCAACCUGUCAUUUUCAAUGGAGGGAAUAAUGACUUAAAUCACCUAAUUUGCUAUGAAUGUGAAGUGGCAAAUUAAAAAUGCCUGUGUCAUCACAUUUGUCUGGAGGUAUUUCCUGACCAAAGACCCAAAUAAAAAAGUGUAUUCCAGAUUUUCAGUAAAUAAUGUGGGUUGUUACAUAAUAAGGUCUCACUGCUUCUGGCCCCGCUGGAAUCUAUUGGGAAACCUCUGGAGCUCAACUGUUUGAAGGUGCAGAAAGUACCUGGGCCUCUUAGGCCACCAUGCAAUGGAGAGGCUCAAUAUAUGGUGUAAAUUUUAUAGAUUUGUCUUGGCCAGGCUUAUGCAAUGGCUUUGUCUUGCUCUUGGCUGCCAAGGGUUGGAAAUCAUGCUAUGAGGAAAAAUGUUGUCCCUUGGAUUCCCCCCCUCAAUCCAUAUAGAAGCUGAAAGUCCUUAUAUUUGAAAUAAAUAUCUAAAUGCUCUGUUAUUCAGACAGAUGAGAACAUGAUCCUGGGCCUGAGCUGUGGAAUUAAUGUCAAUACACUGGAAUAUUUCAACUGACCUAAUGUGUGUUCAUUGGGAUUAUGCCAAUUGUCAGGUAUGUUUGCACAAACGAGAAAAUUCUUUGCUUUCACCAGAGUGGCUUGGAAAUCUGCUGUUAAGACUACUGAAGGCUUUAGCUCUGAGCCUGUGGCGGAGGGGGAAGACUCAGCUGGUGCUCAGCUGAGCUUUGAAGAUGCAUUGGAUAUCCUUUGCCAUGUCUUCAAUGCUAAUGAUUAUCAAAACGUUGUAAACACAAGUUGUAAAAAUGCUACCCCAUAAUAAUUUGUGCUAUUUGGUUAUUUUUGCUUCUUAUUUUCAUUUCUGGAAAAGACCAUCAGCAAUUAGCUUCUACUGAUAUAUUUAGGAAAUAUAAGCAUCAGAAAACCCUAAUGUGCCCACAUUUCCUUUGAAUGAAAUAGCAUAUGUGUCAGCUGCAGGCUUCUGACAUCUGCACUCAGAGCUUAUAUGAAGAAUGAAGAGAGAAGCUGAAGCCGUGAAAACAAGGUGCCUGGAGUUGUUGGCUGGGCCCUUCUACCAAGAUGCAGUGGGGUGGGUAACCCUUUAAAAAUCCCAAAGAGAAAAAGGUGUUAAGAAAUUAGCACCUUGUUGUGUAGUGAUGGGAACAUGUGGAAAAUGCUCCAACUCAGUAAGUGUUUUGAAGCCUUGGUUUGGAAGGAGGUUUUCCAUGUAGAGCCUGAGGAUCAGAGCUCUCUGUGCUCUGUCAGGGUAACACCAUUGACUUGGGCAGCAAUGGCUGCUGAGUGGCUUUGUGCAAAUGGGGGCUUGAAAGGAAGAUCAGGAGGUUGUAAAAAAUAAAAUAAAUGAAGGGAAGGGAAG